This 1376-nucleotide unclassified non-coding RNA is filed under the name uncultured fungus. RNAcentral's name for it is "sequence contains 18S rRNA gene, ITS1, 5.8S rRNA gene, ITS2, 28S rRNA gene". The stretch from base 435 to 1376 matches the Rfam family "Eukaryotic large subunit ribosomal RNA", at positions 1 to 961 of the family's 3401-position model. Lineage: Eukaryota; Fungi. The record is from RNAcentral.
GGAGGGAUCAUUAUUGAAUGGCCCCCGAUGGGCCUUCAACCCAUCAAGACCUGUGGACCUUAAUCUGUGCUUCGGCGCCGUGGAUGCGGCGUCGCUUUUAUGCUGAAAGUUGGAUUUCGUCUGAUUAAUCACAAAAGAUUUAAAACUUUCAACAAAGGAUCUCUUGGCUCUCGCAUCGAUGAAGAACGCAGCGAAGCGCGAAAUGUAGUGUGAAUCGCAGAACUUGUGAAUCAUCGAAUCUUUGAACGCACAUUGCGCCUCUCGUGAGGGAGGCAUGCCUGUCUGAGUGUCGUUUAUAUCUCUAGGCCUCACUUUCUUGGUGAGGGUCUGUCUUGGGCUUCGUCUGCUCGGCGUUGUCUGAAUGUCAUUGGUCUCAACUGUGGACGAGUCCCUGUAGGGCGGACCGCAGUGGGACCCUAAGCCCCUCUUGAAUUUGACCUCAGAUCAGGUAGGAACACCGCCUGAACUUAAGCAUAUCAAUAAGGCGAGGAACAGAAACCAACAGGGAUUCCCCUAGUAGUGGCGAAUGAAGCGGGAAAAGCUCAAGUUUGAAAUCUGGCGGGCGACCUCCAGAGUUGUAAGCUGAAGAGGGUUUGACCGACAUGGCCUGGGCCCAAUUCCCUUGGGACAGGGAGUCAAGGAGGGUGAGAACCCCGUGUGUGGCUCGUGGUCUUUGUCCUUGUGUCGUUCCCUCCAAGAGUCGGGUUGUUUGGGAAUGCAGCUCAAAAUGGGUGGUAAAUUUCAUCUAAAGCUAAAUAUUGGCGAGAGACCGAUAGCGAACAAGUAGAGUGAUCGAAAGAUGAAAAGCACUUUGAAAAGAGAGUGAAACAGCGCGUGAAAUUGUUGAAAGGGAAGCGUUUGGCAUCAGCCCAUGGCGCUGGUUGAUCAACCAGGCUUCUGUCUGGUGCACUUGACCAGCGUCGGGUCAGCGUCGACUCUGCCUCCUGGAGAAAGGUCUUGGGGAUGUGGCUCUCUUCGGGGAGCGUUAUAACCCUCGACGUCAUGUGGGAGGCGGGGUCGAGGUCCGCGGUCUAACCUAGGACGCUGGCGUAAUGGUUCCAAGCGACCCGUCUUGAAACACGGACCAAGGAGUCUAACAUCUAUGCGAGUGUUUGGGUGUCAAGCCCGUCCGCGCAAUGAAAGUGAAUGUAGGCGGGAGCCCUUAGGGUGCACCGCCGACCGGUCCAGGGGUUUACCGAAGGAUCUGAGUAAGAGCAUAGCUGUUGGGACCCGAAAGAUGGUGAACUAUGCCUGAAUAGGGUGAAGCCAGAGGAAACUCUGGUGGAGGCUCGAAGCGGUUCUGACGUGCAAAUCGAUCGUCGAAUUUGGGUAUAGGGGCGAAAGACUAAUCGAACCAUCUAGUAGCUGGUUCCUGC